RNAcentral lists this ribosomal RNA (464 nucleotides) under uncultured bacterium. RNAcentral's name for it is "bacterial SSU rRNA". It matches the Rfam family "Bacterial small subunit ribosomal RNA", at positions 339 to 796 of the family's 1533-position model. The record is from RNAcentral.
CUACGGGAGGCAGCAGUGGGGAAUCUUGCGCAAUGGGCGAAAGCCUGACGCAGCGACGCCGCGUGAGCGAUGAAGGCCCUCGGGUCGUAAAGCUCUGUGGGGAGAGAAGAAUAAGGCCUGGCCAAUACCCAGGUUGAUGACGGUAUCUCCUUAGCAAGCACCGGCUAACUCUGUGCCAGCAGCCGCGGUAAGACAGAGGGUGCAAACGUUGUUCGGAAUCACUGGGCGUAAAGCGCGUGUAGGCGGCAACGCAAGUCGGGUGUGAAAGCCCAUGGCUCAACCGUGGAAGUGCAUUCGAAACUGCGUAGCUCGAGUCUCGGAGAGGAAGGCGGAAUACUGGGUGUAGAGGUGAAAUUCGUAGAUAUCCAGUGGAACACCGGUGGCGAAGGCGGCCUUCUGGACGAUGACUGACGCUGAAACGCGAAAGCGUGGGGAGCAAACAGGAUUAGAUACCCGUGUAGUCC